AUUGAACGCUGGCGGCAGGCCUAACACAUGCAAGUCGAGCGGAUGAGUGGAGCUUGCUCCAUGAUUCAGCGGCGGACGGGUGAGUAAUGCCUAGGAAUCUGCCUGGUAGUGGGGGACAACGUUUCGAAAGGAACGCUAAUACCGCAUACGUCCUACGGGAGAAAGUGGGGGAUCUUCGGACCUCACGCUAUCAGAUGAGCCUAGGUCGGAUUAGCUAGUUGGUGAGGUAAAGGCUCACCAAGGCGACGAUCCGUAACUGGUCUGAGAGGAUGAUCAGUCACACUGGAACUGAGACACGGUCCAGACUCCUACGGGAGGCAGCAGUGGGGAAUAUUGGACAAUGGGCGAAAGCCUGAUCCAGCCAUGCCGCGUGUGUGAAGAAGGUCUUCGGAUU
RNAcentral lists this ribosomal RNA (394 nucleotides) under uncultured bacterium. RNAcentral's name for it is "bacterial SSU rRNA". It matches the Rfam family "Bacterial small subunit ribosomal RNA", at positions 30 to 424 of the family's 1533-position model. The record is from RNAcentral.